CUUGUCAACUACCUACUUAGUCAGUGCUGUGCGGGGCAGUGAACUAGUCCACCUGGAGCCGAAGCGGGAUUUAUGCUUGGCACUCACCAACUUUCACUGUUCCUGUUUGAGGCUUUUCCACGAACAGGAUGGAUGGCUGAGAAUUGGCGUUCUGCUUGUCUUGAUCCUCUGUGGCAGGGCCCGACUACUCAAACCUGAAAGGAAAGCGUGAUCUGGAUGAUGCAAGAUGAAAGGGGUGACAAUGAAGUGCUGACUGCAACCUCCUUGGAUCCCCCAAACCCUUUUCUGAUAAUAGGGAGAAAGAAACUAGAAGUUGGCUUGGAUGGAAAAUCAGUAGAGCUUCAACUAUGAAAGCAUCUCUAAAAAGAUGUCUUAUUUAAAAAACAAUGAGCCCUCGCUGGUUUGGCUCAGUGUAUAGAGCAUUGGCCUAUGGACUGAAGUUCGAUUCCAGUCAAAAGCACAUGCCCGGGGUUGCGGGCUUGAUCCCCAGUAGGGGUCGUGCAGGAG
Eptesicus fuscus (big brown bat) is the source of this 507-nucleotide long non-coding RNA. RefSeq lists it as uncharacterized. The record is from RefSeq and is a predicted model, not a curated record. NCBI's taxonomy places the organism in Eukaryota, Metazoa, Chordata, Mammalia, Chiroptera, Vespertilionidae. The transcript is spliced from 3 exons.